UGCCUGUUCGAGCGUCACUUCAACCUCCAAGCACUGCUUGGUAUUGGAUGCCACUGCACAUGGUGCAUCUUAAAAGCAUUGGCGGCAGCAUUUAGCUUCUAGCAUAGUAAACUUCUUGCUCUGGAGCUGGAUGUCUGCCUGCCAGAACCCAUAUUUCAAAGGUUGACCUCGGAUCAGGUAGGGAUACCCGCUGAACUUAA
RNAcentral lists this unclassified non-coding RNA (200 nucleotides) under soil metagenome. Its description in RNAcentral is "partial contains internal transcribed spacer 2 and large subunit ribosomal RNA". The record is from RNAcentral.